Molecule: ribosomal RNA, 483 nt
Filed under: uncultured bacterium
Lineage: Bacteria
Description: partial 16S ribosomal RNA
Rfam family: Bacterial small subunit ribosomal RNA
Source: RNAcentral
AUUGAACGCUGGCGGCAGGCCUAACACAUGCAAGUCGAGCGGAUGAAGGGAGCUUGCUCCUGGAUUCAGCGGCGGACGGGUGAGUAAUGCCUAGGAAUCUGCCUGGUAGUGGGGGAUAACGUCCGGAAACGGGCGCUAAUACCACAUACGUCCUGAGGGAGAAAGUGGGGGAUCUUCGGACCUCACGCUAUCAGAUGAGCCUAGGUCGGAUUAGCUAGUUGGUGGGGUAAAGGCCUACAAGGCGACGAUCCGUAACUGGUCUGAGAGGAUGAUCAGUCACACUGGAACUGAGACACGGUCCAGACUCCUACGGGAGGCAGCAGUGGGGAAUAUUGGACGAUGGGCGAAAGCCUGAUCCAGCCAUGCCGCGUGUGUGAAGAAGGUCUUCGGAUUGUAAAGCACUUUAAGUUGGGAGGAAGGGCAGUAAGUUAAUACCUUGCUGUUUUGACGUUACCAACAGAAUAAGCACCGGCUAACUUCGUG